GAUGAACGCUAGCUACAGGCUUAACACAUGCAAGUCGCAGGGUAACAUGAGGAAAGCUUGCUUUCCUUGAUGACGACUGGCGCACGGGUGAGUAACGCGUAUCCAACCUUCCCAUAACUACGGGAUAACCCGUUGAAAGACGGCCUAAUACCGUAUGAUAUCGUUUGCUGACAUCAAAUAACGAUUAAAGGUUUAGCGGUUAUGGAUGGGGAUGCGUCUGAUUAGCUUGUUGGCGGGGUAACGGCCCACCAAGGCGACGAUCAGUAGGGGUUCUGAGAGGAAGGUCCCCCACAUUGGAGCUGGGACACGGUCCAAGCUCCUACGGGAGGCAGCAGUGAGGUAUAUUGGUCAAUGGGCGAGAGCCUGAACCAGCCAAGUAGCGUGCAGGACGACGGCCCUAUGGGUUGUAAACUGCUUUUAUGUGGGGAUAAAGUGCGUGACGUGUCAUGCAUUGCAGGUACCACAUGAAUAAGGACCGGCUAAUUCCGUG
This 490-nucleotide ribosomal RNA is filed under the name uncultured bacterium. RNAcentral's name for it is "partial 16S ribosomal RNA". It matches the Rfam family "Bacterial small subunit ribosomal RNA", at positions 28 to 507 of the family's 1533-position model. The record is from RNAcentral.